This 401-nucleotide ribosomal RNA is filed under the name uncultured Nocardioides sp. RNAcentral describes it as "bacterial SSU rRNA". It matches the Rfam family "Bacterial small subunit ribosomal RNA", at positions 992 to 1393 of the family's 1533-position model. Lineage: Bacteria; Bacillati; Actinomycetota; Actinomycetes; Propionibacteriales; Nocardioidaceae. The record is from RNAcentral.
GAUGACGGCAGCGCAGAGAUGGUGCCCCUUUUUGUCGGUAUACAGGUGGUGCAUGGCUGUCGUCAGCUCGUGUCGUGAGAUGUUGGGUUAAUUCCCGCAACGAGCGCAACCCUCGUCCUAUGUUGCCAGCACGUUAUGGUGGGGACUCAUAGGAGACUGCCGGGGUCAACUCGGAGGAAGGUGGGGAUGACGUCAAGUCAUCAUGCCCCUUAUGUCCAGGGCUUCACGCAUGCUACAAUGGCCGGUACAAAGGGCUGCGAUGCUGUAAGGCGGAGCGAAUCCCAAAAAGCCGGUCUCAGUUCGGAUUGGGGUCUGCAACUCAACCCCAUGAAUUCGGAGUCACUAGUAAUCGCAAAUCAACAACACUGCGGUGAAUACUUUCCCGGGCCUGUUCACCCCGA